GCACUGGCUAACCUCGGACUUUCGAUGUGCUUUUUGCCUUGAUGCUUUGCUUUUCUAUGUGCGUCUGCUUCUGUUAACCUUCCAUCAACCUGGAGGUUUCACCAUCCCAGGGAGGUGUCAGUCUUUCUCAGUUCACCCCGUCAUUAUCCCCAGGAUGGUCUGAAAGGAAGGGUCCCUUUGGGAACUUCUCAGGAGGGAGACCUGGGCCAAGGGCUCGGCCAGCAUCUCCCUGGCAAUUCCAAGGCCCAGGGUGGGCUUCUGGAAGGAGCAUGAUUCCCGAGGCCAUGCUACUGAACUGCCAGGGGUAUCCCCACCUCUUCCAGAUCUCCUCGUCCUUUCUGGGGAAUUGGGAUCGAGAAAAGCAACCUCCCAGGGUGUUGUGAGUGUUGGUCCGAUUCUGGGAAGCUGGUAAGGCCAGGCAUAGAAGAGGCGGUCAGUAAAUGUUUUUCCCAAACAGGUUGGUCGACCACGUCCCCCUCGCCCCCCUCACCUGUCCCACGCUUCUCGUUUAUCCUCCCACAGCGCUCCGGACAACCCCAGUCCGCAGGGCUCUCGGUGUACCAGCCCCGCCUCCUGUAAAGCCUAUCUACAUUCGCUGUCUUCCUUCCUCACCUUCCGUUUCCCCUCCAACCCACCGCUUCGUGGUCUCCUCUGGUUCGUUGAACUCCACCAGCUCUCAGGUCUGCCCACCCAAGCGCUGUGUCCCGGCGAGUCCCAGGCUCGGCGCCCGUGCCUCCCCAGGCCUUGUGGCCCGUCUGGGGGCUGCUCCCUGGCCUGUUGCUUCCCACACCUCUUCCCAUCCUUGCCGCCCCCACGAGCCACCUCCCUCCACCGAAAACCAGAUGGCAGGAGCCCCGGCGGCCCCGGAUCGUGAACGCCUGGACAGAGGAGGUGGAGGAGCUGCCCUGGAGCAGCACGUCUUCCGCAGGGUCACCUGGCGUCUUGCGCCUGCCCUGAGCUGCGACGCUGCUGCCUGGCUUGGGCCGAAGCCAUCAUCUGGAAUCCUCCGUGGUCCAGGACCUCGAACCCGCCACCCCAGCACCCUCUGGCCCCACAAUCGGCAAACUAGGAUGGAAGUGGCCUAGCUGGGGGGCCCUUCGAUGGGCCAAGGAGAAAACGCAGGCAGUGGCACCAGCCUCUGAAGCCGUCUCCGAGCUCCAAUAAUCUUCGCUUGCCUCCCCCCUUGAAAUGUCCCAAUGGACAGACUUUCUGUCUUCAAAGCUUCGGGCCAAACCUCUUCAAGCUUUUUAUUGUUUGGGACUGGGACGCUUAGCAAUAAUGAUGGGUAGUUCCUUUUUUAUUUGCCUUGAAAGGCCAAAAUAUAUUUUUGUGUGCGUGACUAUAGACAAAAAAAAAAAA
This 1359-nucleotide small RNA is filed under the name Bos taurus (domestic cattle). RNAcentral describes it as "partial gene-trap locus 2 transcript variant C". The stretch from base 155 to 259 matches the Rfam family "Maternally expressed 3 conserved region 2". The record is from RNAcentral. Lineage: Eukaryota; Metazoa; Chordata; Mammalia; Artiodactyla; Bovidae.